Molecule: long non-coding RNA, 5214 nt
Filed under: Musa acuminata (dwarf banana)
Lineage: Eukaryota; Viridiplantae; Streptophyta; Magnoliopsida; Zingiberales; Musaceae
Description: long non-coding RNA (MACU_LNC003727)
Source: RNAcentral
AGCAAUCUCAUGCACUUGAGAGCUUGUCAGCUUUACCUCGCUGCCGAAUGCGACGUAAACGACUGAUUCUGGCUUUUGUUUCGCUAGCCACUGCAAGAUGCUGCGCCACCUGCUUUCGCUUUCUGCAUCGGUUUCUGAUUCCGGAGGUGAGGGAGGGAAGAAUCCUACGGGAAUCACUGGUCUUUUGUGUAGCUUCCCGAGAAGGUGAAGCCAAUCUGUUUCGAACUCUGGGCAGCUCCGAACAGCUAUCAAUUGGCAAUCUUCCAAGGUCCUACCGAACCGAUAAGUUUCUGACACACCGGAGGCGUCCGGCAGAACGCAGGGCUUGAAGAGCUCGCGAGCCUCGUAGGGCUUGUAAAACAUGGUGGACUCGAAAGGAACCCACUCAGGCAGCUCCAUGAACUGCUCAGGCGUCGCCCUCACGCCUUCACAGCCCAUUAACGAUGCGGACGGCCCAAUGAAGCUCAGCACCGCGGCGUUGAAGAUGCUAAGAUGGGCGCACGGCACGCCGAACUCGGCGGCCACUCGGGGCGCCCAGUAGGCGGCGUAGUCGAAGACGAUCCAAUCGGGCACGCGGGGCAACGUUUGCCGGAGGAAGCUGGAUAACUGGUGUACCUGCAGAUAAUAAAUGAUAAGGAAAACGAUGGAAUAGUAUUUGUACCUGCAGAUACACCAGUAAACAUAUAAAUGUGCAUGUCGUAUAGAUUGACGAACAUGUGUCUUUGAAUGUAGAUAGAGCAUAUAUUUCUUGACUGACAAAGACAAGCAACAAGCUGAGCUGCUGAACUUAAUUUUACAGUAAGCAAUACUAAGCAAAAUGAAGCACAAACCACAAUAAUAAUAUCACAUAAACUGACAAAAGCUCAGUAACAGAGAAAUUAGACUCAAAGGGCGGAUUAUAUUUGCCAUGAUCUCUCCAAAAGCAAAUCGAGCUUUGCCAUCCUCCUGCAUGUGGUCUAACUAUUCUGGUAGAAUAUGUGUUCAUUUGACUCACCAAAUAGUUUGCUUGACACAAAAAAAUUACAGGACCCUUGUAAUAGAAGUCAACAGUAUAAACCACUAAGUUAAUUCAUUCAAUCCACAAUAGUGGGUGGGAUGUCAUACCAUGAGGAAAACGAUGGAAUGAUCGUAUAGUGGGUGGGAUGUCAUACCAUGAGGAAGUCUAACGUAAUGAGAAAGUGAUUGCUAUUAAUUAUCAACAUAACAAAUAAAACAGACGAUGUAACAGCAGGAUUAGGGCUUCAUUGGGAGAAGUAUUAUUGGUACAAAUUAACCAGUGAACAGCAUGACUGAAUAGCAAACAUAUUGUAAUUCAUUGCUGUCCAGCUUUAUAAUUUCCUUUGCAUGUCCAAGGCCAACCACCAGCAUUUGCCUCUAAAUUCAUAAAUGCAUUUGGUCCCAAUGUGCCUGUUAUUCACUCUCCAGAUUGCACUACAUGUAAAUAAAAAUUGGUAAUUAGUUCUUAAAAGUGUCUCUGAUUUUAUAAUAAGAUUCAGAAGCAAAUGAAAGGGCAACUUUAAUCACUGUGUACACUGUCCAACGAAAAAUGAUCUAUUUCUGUAUAAAAAAAAGAAGACUAUUCUCUCCCGGUCCUUCCUUCCCUCCCUCUGAUGAUACAAGGACAAUCAAAAGAAUGGCUAAUUGGCCAUGACUGUCCUUAAAGGUGAGGCUCUUAAGUCUACCACAUGAUGGAUGCAUGCACAAUUGCAGGCACACAUUCAACGUCAAAGAGAGGAUGUUGAGAAAUCAUUUGACUGAUCUAGAGAGAUCUUAGAUAGGCCUAGGGGCUAUUUUCUAAAGUGAAACUAAAAUCAUGUGUUGGGCAUAUUUUAAAAGCAAGCUCACCAUUGGUAAGGGGACCUUCCAAUUGCCAGCCUUUUCCUCCUUUUUCUGCUUAAGUGUUGUUUGAGGAUCAUCUGCACAUAUGAAAACCAGGGAUUGAACUAAAAUUUAAUGCAUGGAGUGGCAUGUUAAAAGGAUAAGAAACCUUUUUCCAUGUUGUCGUAUCCCAAUCUAAAAGAUGCAGGAGUAGCUUCAUCAUGAACCUUGUCGACCACCUAAUGGAGAUAUGAUGAUUCAUCAUGAACAACAAGCCUGCAAAGGACCAAACAGAAAGCAAAUUGCUCGUUUUUACUUCAGUUAAGGUAGUCAUCAGUUAAAUCAACAACACUGAACAAGCAAAUUCACCAUUACUGUCCUAUGAAUCCAACAUGCUUUUGGAUACAAUAACAUGUCUACAUAUACAAUGACAGUUAUCAGUAAUGGCAAACAUGAACCCUUUUUAAAAUGAUAGAAUGACCUAUUCAGGAUCACAAUGCUAGAAAAAAGUUGGUUACUUAAUUCGCCUAUCAGCCUCCAUUGGAACAAUUACACCUACUUGAUGAUUCAUCAUAAAUAGUAAGACUGGGAAGGACCAAACAGAAACGAAAUUGUUCAAUUUCACUUCGAUUAAGUUGGUAGUCUGUUAAAUCGACAACCCUGAAUAAGCAAAUUCUCCAUUUUUGUCCUAUAAAUCCGAAAUGUCUCUGGACAUAGUUAAUGUAUAAGUAUGCAAAGAUGGAAAUCAGUAACGCAAAACAUAGUCACAUUUUCGUAACAUGGUAAAAAUAGCUGUUCAGGAUCACAAUGCUACAAAAAGUUGAUUGCUUCAUAUGGCUAUUAGCUGCUGAUUGUAACUUCACAUUCUUGAUUGGCGUAUGUCAAGCAACAUAACUGCUCAUAAAGGAAGCUCUUUUAUUCAGUUGUAAUGUUAGUAUUAAAUUCCCCUCCCUCAUCAAUGGGCUUAGUAAAGCGAGUAUGAGGGCUCAAUGACUUGAACUAAAAACUAUAAAAGAAACAAUACAAACAUACCUACAUUGCUGAGACAAGUUUAGGAAAUCAAACUUCAAGGACGAUGCAAAGGAUGCUUACAUCUUCUUCAUCUGCACCUUCUCCGCAUAACGAUUUCUGCCAAACAUUCUUCCUUCAAUACCCAAUACCUGUUCAUAGGUGGCAAAAAACACACACAGACAUCGGUCCCCUUCACCAGUUCCCAAACAUAGGGGAAAAAAGAAUACAAAUCAGUAGCCAAGUCCAACCUCUGGGGUAAAAUUCGAUAGCUUGUGGACCUCCCGAACCUCCUGCGCUUCGGCGGAGAUCCUCUGCGGCUAUUCACGGAGUUUCACCAAUCAAAAACAUGAAUCAGAAGGGAAAACAAUAAAUCAUGCAUUAACAGAUCGAAUCGAAAGAUCAGGAGGAACUCUCAAUGGCGACGGGAGACGGAACGACGGUCAGAAACCCUAGCCGGGACAAGGCCGGGGAGGGACGGUUUAACGACGGGGAGAAGUAGGGAAAUGGCCGUUGUCCAAUCUGGUAAUCCGCGGAUCAGGUUAAUCUUAGAACAUUUUCAUGCUUCGCUAUCGUCUGAUCUAAAUCUGACGGUGAGUACGAGGGAGAACAGAUUGAAAUUGGUUCUCAUCGAUGGACCAUCAAUGGAUCCGACAAGUGGCAAUUCGUAAUCCACACGGCAGGUCGACAUGAUGCGAGAAUGGUGGAUUUGGGUCAGGCAUUAAUAUCAUAAAUGGACCCGACAUAAUUAAGUCCAGUGAUCAAUAAGUAGGUUGGGUUCGGUUCAACGAUUCGACCCAAUUGACUCGAAUUGACCCAAUCAGCGACCAUAUCAAGUGUAUUGAGCAUGUUAAGAUGACCAACACUUGAGAACUAAGAGAAGACUGGAGCAAACUUCAUGUGACUGCAUAAGGCCUGUAUAAUUCGUGGCAAAUAAUAUCCAUUAUGUUGCUUUCCGAAUGACCUAUUUCAUGUCGGUGGAAAUAAUAAUAGAAUGUACUUUUGGGUGAUCAAUAGGAGUAUGGAGGAAGAUUUGCAAUACUAUUUAUAUUAUUAUUUUUUUUCUUGUUAAUUUGAGUUACUUUGUAUUCUUCUGGCUGGAUUUAAUUCUGAUAUAAUGAUCGUGAUAUAAUGGUCAUCAAUUAUUAAUCAUCCAAUAUUAUAAGGUCAAUUUUAGUCGAUUAAUUAUAUAUUACCCUUAUAAUUAGAUGACUUUAUAAUUUAAGAUAUCUAGAUUUAUUUAUUCUAACGCAUUUUAAUUUAAGAAGAUUGGAUGAAGCAUGUGAUUCUCCACUAAAAUCCAGAGUCCAAGUUGGAAUUACUAGUAGAUGGUGAAGCUUUGGGGUCAGAGCAGCAAGUAACGUUGACACCAAGCUUCAUGUGACCGAGGAGAAUCCAACAACACGAAUAAAGCAGAAAACAGCGACGACAAGACUGAGAUCUCAUAUCGAUUGCAGCUGAGUUAAGCUUGUUGUCUUCUAUGUUCUAUCAAGUAUUUGAGGAAUUCCCACACAUGUCGAUCGUUCAGCUUCUCGUCUCCAAACACCUCUCUGUACUCCUUGGCCUUCGCUCUCAGUGGCUGACCUUGUUCUUCUACCAUGACCAACCUCAAGGUCGUCGCUAUCCCCUCUCCUGUGAACGAUCCAUCUUCCUCGUUUCGCGGCACCUCCACGCUAAUCUUCCGCUCGACCAGGUUUCUUGCAUUCAGACCUUGAUCGAACAUCAGCGGCAUGAGCACGACCGGGAGCCCGAGCGCGAGCCCCUCGACGAUCGAGUUCCAACCGGCGUGCGUCAGGAAUCCGCCCAUGGACGGGUGCGCAAGGAGCCGGGCUUGAGGGACCCAACCCAAGCACACCAGCCCGCGUCCCUGCGUCCGCUCCUCGAAUCCUUCCGGCAGCGCGGCGGGGCUGCCGUGCGAGUCUGCCGGUGCUCUCAGUGCCCAAACGAAGGGUAAUUGGGAUCCCUCCAGGCCGAGAGCAAUCUCAUGCACUUGAGAGCUUGUCAGCUUUACCUCGCUGCCGAAUGCAACGUAAACGACUGAUUCUGGCUUUUGUUUCGCUAGCCACUGGAAGAUGCUGCGCCACCUGCGGUCGCUCUCUUCAUCGGUGUCUGAUUCCUGAGGUGAGGGAGGGAAGAAUCCUACGGGAAUCACUGGUCUUUUGUGUAGCUUCCCGAGGAGGUGAAACCAAUCUGGUUCGAACUCUGGGCAGCUCCGAACAGAUAUCAAUUGACAAUCUUCCAACGUCCUACCGAACCGAUAAGCUUCGGACACACCGGAGGCGUCCGGCAGAACGCCGGGCUUGAAGAGCUCGCGAGCCUCGUAGGGCUUGAAAAAGACGGUGGACUCGAAAGGAACCCACUCAGGCAGCUCCAUGAACUGCUCAGGCG